This 1384-nucleotide long non-coding RNA is filed under the name Nicotiana benthamiana. Its description in RNAcentral is "long non-coding RNA (NBEN_LNC028086)". Lineage: Eukaryota; Viridiplantae; Streptophyta; Magnoliopsida; Solanales; Solanaceae. The record is from RNAcentral.
CCUUUUCCCUUUUCCCUUUCACAGGUCAACACCAUCGGUACCGGCACCACCACCGACUCGCCGGAAUCCACAGGUAAGUAUCCUUAUCUAUAUCCCUCUCUUUGCUCGGAACACUGUUCCGGCAAAGAUUCGCACUGGUUUCGGUGUUUUUUCCUUCGACACCUCCUUCACCACCGUGACGCUCAGCGUCAGGCGCGCAACCCCUGUAAAUUCCACCGCCGGAAUCUGCCCCACGCGCCGGCGACGACCAUCCACGCGCCGUCGGCGACUCCCACGCGCCACGCGCGUGAGCCUUUUCCGGCCACUUUUUGCACCGGCUCCUUUUGGGCAGUUCCCCCCCCCCCCCCCCCCCCCCCCCCCCCCCCCCCCCCCCCCCCCCCCGGUACCGGCACCACCACCGACUCGCCGGAAUCCACAGGUAAGUAUCCUUAUUCCUAUCCCUCUCUUUGCUCGGAACACUGUUCCGGCGAAGAUUCGCACUGGUUUCGGUGUUUUUUCCUUCGACACCUCCUUCACGAUCGUGACGCUCAGCGUCAGGCGCGCAACCCCUGUAAAUUCCACCACCGGAAUCUGCCCCACGCGCCGGCGACGACCAUCCACGCGCCGUUGGCGACUCCCACGCGCCACGCGCGUGAGCCUUUUCCGGCCACUUUUUGCAUCGGCUCCUUUUGGGCAGUUUUCCCCCCUGCAAUUCCGACCAACUUGGUACUCCCGGAAUAUUACCCCGGUCACUUUCAUUUUGCACUGCCCUCUUAGCACUGUUCUCUCUCUUUUUAUUCUUUUUAUUUUUACUUUUAUUCUUUGGUUGAAAAAGUCGAAAGGCUUAAGCUGUAGCUGAGAAUUUUUGCAACCGAAGCACUUUUUCUUUUAUUCUAUCCUCUGCUUUUGUGGGUGUGUACUGUUUCCUUGGACAGGUGCCUACUCCUCCGGCGAAGAUCUCCGACAACUCACGCUCAGGCUCGCGGCAGGACGCAAUAGAGCUGCACGUUCUGCUAAGCUUUAGGAAAGCUUGGGCGCCUCAAAGCACACUUUCAGGUUUUUCCAUCGGGAGUUGGUACCUCCCGCUCCCUUGUUUACAUUGUGCAUCUUUUUACGUAUCGUUUUCGUAUUUUAGAUAGCAUAUCGAGUUAGUUGUUAUCUAGUUUGCUACAUUUGCGUUUUUCGUUAUAGUGCGUGUGUGUGCCAUUGUACCCCAUAUCGGUUGGUGGGAUAGUGGCCGCGGCGGGGGAUGAUAGCGUAAGGUCAUGUCCUCAGGGGGUGGGGGUGGUAGCGGGGGUGAGUAGGGAGCAGGGGAUGGCACUUCGGGCAGGGCGGGAGGAAAGGGUGGGAAGAGGGCGGCGGACGUCCAUAGACUAAGGAUUGGGUCUUGGAACAUAGGUACUCU